AUGUCUGCUCUGGCGCAGGCAGAAACAGGAAGAAUCCUGUCCCAGACUGCUCCUGAGUUCUUGCGUCCUGAGGAUUCCAUGCUGGUACCUCAGAGCAAAAGUGGUGGUCUUACCUGUCUUUUCUCAGGUGCCAGAUGCGACAUCCAGUUGACCCAGUCUCCAUCCUCCAUGUCUGCAUCUCUGGGAGACAGAGUCAGUCUUACUUGCCAGUCAAGCCAGGGCAUUGGAAAUUAUUUAAGCUGGUACCAGCAUAAACCAGGGAAACCUCCUAAGCCUAUGAUUUAUUAUGCAACCAACUUGGCAGAUGGGGUCCCAUCAAGAUUCAGUGGCAGUAGGUCUGGGUCAGAUUAUUCUCUCACCAUCAGCAGCCUGGAGUCUGAAGAUACAGCAAUCUAUUACUGUCUACAGUAUGAUGAGUACCCUUCCACAGUGAUACAAGUCAUAACAUAA
Rattus norvegicus (Norway rat) is the source of this 450-nucleotide non-coding RNA. The record is from the annotation of a RefSeq genome assembly. NCBI's taxonomy places the organism in Eukaryota, Metazoa, Chordata, Mammalia, Rodentia, Muridae.